UGGGGAAUCUUGCGCAAUGGCCGAAAGGCUGACGCAGCGACGCCGCGUGCGGGAUGAAGGCCUUCGGGUCGUAAACCGCUGUUGCCCGGGACGAACAGCCUGAUUCGUCAGGCCUGACGGUACCGGGUGUGGAAGCACCGGCUAACUCCGUG
This 152-nucleotide ribosomal RNA is filed under the name uncultured Atopobium sp. RNAcentral's name for it is "partial 16S ribosomal RNA". It matches the Rfam family "Bacterial small subunit ribosomal RNA", at positions 355 to 507 of the family's 1533-position model. Lineage: Bacteria; Bacillati; Actinomycetota; Coriobacteriia; Coriobacteriales; Atopobiaceae. The record is from RNAcentral.